UUCGGCGGUGGAGCAGUAGAAUGUGGAAGUGGAGCUGAGAGUAUGAAUGGAGUGGGUAAUGGAUGCCAGCGGGGCCCUGGGCGGGAGGUGGUGGUAGUUCAUUGAAUUGCAGAGAGAAGCAGUGUCGCUCAGGUUUAAAGAAAAACAGCAAAUACUUAUAAGAACAAAUGGCAGAAAUCUUGAUGGAUUAUUUUUAAAAAAAAUCAGGGCGUACUUAUAGCACUGGAAUACCACGGAAUUUACACGUUAAAUGUUAGCUAUUGCUGGACAAACUAUGAAUGAAAAUACAAAUUCAUCACUUGACCCCAACAAGGACGAUCUUCCUCUCAUGGCCAAUACUAGUUGUAUGCUGGUCAGACAUUAUGUAUUAGAUCUAGCAGUAAAUUUUGACAGAGAAGUCAUCAACGGUACCAUUGUCCUCUUCCUAGAAACCAACAAAGUGUACAAAAGAACAUCCAACCCUGUGGGAGCAGGUCAGCAACUCUCCUUACAAGGACUAUUUGAAACUGAGCAACUAGGACCUUCAUGCAGUCUGACUUCUGCAUGUGAGGAUCAGAUGAGCAAUCAAGCUAACCACCGUGAUGGCAGAGUUACCAAUGUUAAUAGUUGUAACUAUAGCAACAAUGAGUGGGCUGGAGAGAGAUCUGGUACAAGGGAGCUCUGCGAUGACGGGAAGGAUUUUGUGCUGGUGCUGGACUGUUGCGACCUUGUGGUGAAUAAGGUGGAGGAAGUGAAUGUUACUGCUGCAGCAGGUGCUGACAGGUUGAAUGGAAUGGACGUGCUCAAGCCAGAAGAUGGCACUUUUUCUCAGGGACUGCAGGAUGAUCCCCAGAAUAGCAUAGUGGAUGAAAUUCUAGGUUUAUCAGCAGAUCGCUGGCAGGAGCAACAUAAUUAUUACCUCCAGUGUAGCAACGUGCCUGGCUGUGGAGAACUCCAGUUUCAGACCGACACAUGGAGCAUGAAAAUAAGGAAACCAGGAAUACAAAGCCCUCAAGACUUCCCUCGUGUAUUGAGGAUCUGGUAUGAAACGAAACCAGAGGGUGGCUCGGUUAAAUGGACUAAGGACCAAAGUGGCAGACCCUGUGUAUACACAGCAGGAUCUCCUAUAAACAACAGAGCACUGUUUCCAUGUCAGGAGCCUCCAGUAGCCAUGGCAACUUGGCAAGCCUCGAUUUGGGCCCCCAACGAUACUGUGGUUCUAAUGAGUGGUGAAAAUUGUGCUGAACCCCACCAGGCUGGAGCUUUCUCAAAAUGGUUCUAUUAUGUGACCAUGCCAAUGCCAGCAUCUACUUUCACUCUUGCUGUUGGAUUCUGGCUUGAAGUUAAACAUGAACACACUUUUGAAUCCCACUUGCAAAGUCCAUUAUCCUCAUCUUCAAACUUUAUAAAUGAAAACCCCAGUGUUUCCAUGACAACCUGUGAUCAUCCAGCCUAUCCAUGUCGUUUCCAAAAUCCUCUUGCCCAAGUCCAGGAUUGUAUUCCUCACCGAGUCUUUGCUCCGGAUAGUCUGAAAUUAAGAAGCCAGGAGUUUCUGCUUCCUCUGUUAGCUCAGUGCCUUCCUGCAGCUUGUUGUAUUCUCGGCACUCAUCCUUUCUGCAGGGUCGAUGUACUGGUUGUUCCUGCUGGUUUUUCUAGUCUGGGAAUGGCUAGUCCACACAUCAUCUUCCUAUCGCAGUCUGUUCUGUCUGGAGGAAUCCAUCUCUGUGGAAUUCGACUGUGCCAUGAAAUAGCUCAUGCCUGGUUUGGAUUAGCCAUUGGUGCUCGUGAUUGGACUGAAGAGUGGAUAAGUGAAGGCUUUGCUACUUAUUUGGAGGACAUAUUUUGGGCAAAAGCACAGAAGCUGUCACAGGAAGCAAUGCAAGAACAACAGCAACUAAGGUCCUUGCUGCGAUGGAGAAGGCUCAGAGAAGAAAUUCAGAACUCUGAAGAAGAAUUGCAAGUUUUGAGGCCUAACAAGGAGAACACAGGAGAAGUGAACAGCACCAGUGCAACAAUCAUCAAACAUGGUCGAAAUCCAGGAAAAGUCUUUAUGCAAGUUCAUUACUUAAAGGGUUAUUUUCUGCUCCAUUACCUUGAGAACCAAGUGGGACAAAAAGCUUUUCUCAAUUUUUUGGGGUUAUUUGUGGAGAGGUUUCAUGGGCAACUAAUUCUUUCUCAGGAUUUUCUACACAUGUUUAUGGAGAAUUUUUCAGAACUUGGAAGUCAGGGGCUGUCUACGGAAACUAUCUAUCGAGUCUGGUUGGAUGUAGCAGGAUUGCCAAAGCCUCUUUUGGAUGAAGCUGUGCAGUGGACGGAAAACCGACUAGUCCGUGAAGUGAAGAAUGAGGUGACAAAAUGGGUCACGAUCGAUGAAAAGGUCAGAAAAGGCUCCCGCAAAAGGAAGCGCAACCGCAAGGACGAGGUGACUUUCAGAGAGCUUUUGCCAGACCAACUGGUUUUGCUCCUGGAAUUUGUGUUGGAGAUGAAGUCCUUGUCUUCCAAAACACUGCAGAGGUUGCAGAAGCAGUAUUCCCUAAGGGAGCAGGAUGUAGAGGUGCGCCAUCGCUGGUGUGAGCUGGUUAUUAAGCAUAAACUCACUGGGGCAUACAGGGACUUGAUCAAUUUCCUGAAACGGGAUCAGGCAAUGGGAGUCUACAUCUAUGGUGAGUUGAUGGUUAAUGAAGAUGCCAGGCAGCAGCAACUAGCUCGCAGGUGUUUUGCCAUGCUUAAAGAAGAGAUGGAUCCAUCCUUGCAGAAGGUGGUGGCAGAAAUGCUGUUCUAGCCAAGUGAGCGCCAACGAGCAGGUCCAUGCAGAACAGAUAAAUGGUGUUGGCCGGGUACACUUAUCACACUGCAAAUUUAGACAGCAGCCACCAUUGUGCGAACCACUUCUAUUGCAAGUCUUUUCAACUGUCAGUGUGAGAAGAUUUUCAAUUAUUUUCCUUAUUACUUGUAUAUGAAGACAUUGUUUUUGGACUAAUAUAUAUUGUAUUUUUAGACAUUUAAAAUUAACCUGCAUAGUAUUUUUAUUCAUUAUUAUGAAAUGUCCAAAUGUGCAUGUAAUGUUCCUUAUCAAUUUUAGUGAUACAUUUUGCAGUAUGGGCAAUAUUUAAGUAUUGCCACAGUGAUUUGUAACCCAGGACUAAUCCACUGGUAAAGACACAAUGCUUAAUUAUUCUUAUUUGUUUACUAGUCUUGUAUACAGAAUGUUGAAGAGAUUUAAUUUGUUCACUGCACUGAAAACAUUGAAUUUUACAAAUUUUGCAUCGCAGUAUGAUCUACUCUGGAUAUAAAUUAAAUACAUAACAUACAGUAUAUGUGUCUCCAUUCUAUCUGAUUUGAUAAACAGCUUAAUUUGCAUAUUCCAUACUUACACAUCAGAAUUAAAAUGUAUCCUCUGUUAUAUUCACCAAAUGCACGAUUUUGGAGCAGUGCACUUUGAUUUUCUGAUUUUCAGAUUUGGCUUUGGUAACUUUAGCCUUUUCUCUUGCGGGCAGAAAAGAAUUGUCAGUCAAGAAAUCUUGUGGUCAGCAACUAAAUAUUGCAAUAUGAUAUAAAAAAGUCAGGACAUGCAGAGAGUCCCCCAAGGAAGGAAGCCACACAUUUUGAUUGCAGUAACCAGACUUCUAUGCUCACAAGUCUCACCAUUUUCCUUUCUGAAAUUUAAGCUGAGUAUUCAUAACCUUAAGAUUCUAAGGUUUAACUGUUCUAUGACAUCUAAGAAUGUAUGGGAAUCAGGGCUUGAUGUGCUUUUGAAGGAAAGGUGGUCCAUUUCAAUCCAAUGCUAGAUUGCAUCUGUAUUCCAGAUUUAUAAUGCCAUUUCCUCUUUGAAGUAACACAUUUAGAACAUAAGUGCGACUUGUGUUUUAUGACCCUUUUAUUGUUAUUUUGAAUUAUUGUGAAUUUAUAAUACUUUGAUAUAAAAACUGAGGAGCAAUGUGUUGAAGCAUCAACUCAAAACAAAAAUGGUUUUAUUUUACUUCAGCUUGAGGUUGUGGGAGAGUGAAUUGUUUCCUUUAAUCUUUCAUGGCUUUAAUUUACUUAGUAUUGAUGGACUCAUAAUUAACAGCCAAAUUAUACAUUUUAUUAAGAAGUAUUGACACCAUGAUGUCCUUAAUAUCUAAAGCUGCAAUAUCAGCCCAGGCUUAAGCCAGCUUUGCACGUUUAGUUGGAGCUCUGGGGACCUAUGGGUAUCUGUGGGAUUAGGAAUGAAUAGCAAGAUUAAGCAAAAUAUGUACCAUUACUGCUGUCAAACUAACCUACCUAUGCACGGUAAAACUCCAACAAUGUGCUAUCCAUCAAUUCAGUAUUCUCAGUAAUUCAGCAUCUGGCUCACCAGAUAUUUUCUGUGCUCCCUUCCCAUUCAUCCUCUGCUGUCAUUCUCCCUUACCAGACAUCAAAUGCCAAGUUUCCACAGUCCUCGCCCACUCACUACGAGUUCAGUUCCCAGGUUUUCUUCUUUACACCGAAGCCCUGGUUGCCACAGUCCAUUCAAACUCACCAGAAUAAUUUAUUAUUAUAAUGUGCAAAGUCAAAGUAAAAAUGAACACAAUACAUGUUGGGCAUUAAUACAGAGAACAUCCAGUAGUUUGGAUAAUCUGCAACCAAAGAGCCAUUCUGGCAUGUAAAACCAUGGUCUCCUCUACUGCCACGAUGAGGCCACUCUCAGGGUAGAGGAGCAAUACCUCAUAGUCCAUCUGGGUAGCCUCCAACCUGGCAGCAAUAACACUGAUUUCUCCAACCUUCGGUAUUUCUGCCCUAUCCCCCAUUCUGGUUUCCCUCUUGCCUCUUCUACUUGCCUGUCUCCCUUCCUUUAGGACCUGUCCUCCUCUUUCUCCCAUGGUCCAUUCCCCUCUCUUAUCAGGUUUCUGCUUCCAUACUUUAUCUUUUACACCUAUCGCCUUCCAGCUUCUCUCUUCAUUCACCUCUUCCCCUAUCUACCUUCCCACUCACCUAGCUUCACCUAUCACCUUAGAGUUUGUGCUCACUCCCUUCCCCUCACCUUCUCAUACUGGCUUCUUUCCCCUUCAGUCCAGGUGAAGAGUCUCAGCCUGAAAUGUAGACUCAAUUCGUCUCCAUAGAUGCUGCCUGACCUGCUGACUUCCUCCAGCAUUCUUUGUGCCCAGUGUACUUGUAAAUGCAGUAUAUCCAGAAUCUUCCAAACAGCAAGUGGGUAAUAGAGGCGAGUGACAACUGAUUUUCCGAAGCUCGCACUUUCAGCAGCGAAAGAAAAUGAACUGCAUGGGUUGACUUCCAGCAGGUUCUGAAACGACAGAGAUGUGGCGCUUGUCAGAUGAACCAGCUAUGUCGCAGACUCACAGUCGGCAGUUCCAAAGGAGGUCAGCUAAGAGUGUGCAGUAUUCCCAGACAGCUGUCUUCGUGCUUCGGAAUGCAUUAGGACCUGCAGCUGAGAUCAAGCAUGCUUUGGAGUUGUGAAAGGAGUGCCGCAGUCCCUUGGACAGAUGGAGAGAUGCCCUUCAGCGCACACCAGCACCAGCCAGGGUGAACAGAACGUUCAGGUGCUGCUGUGCUCCACAAAACAUCGUACAUAAAGCAAAUUUUUCAGAAAAGAAACGAGGGAUGAAAGGAGGAAAAUGAUAACAUUGGAAGUCCAGGCACUAUGUUGGGAACUGAGUGGGAACAGGGCAGCCUUGAGUGAGGGAAGUUAUCUCUUCCACUUCCCCUUUUGCCUUAAUUCAGCUGUGUUUCCUCUCUCUCGCUCACUUGAGAGCACCGUUUGUCAUUGAUCAGCGUGGCACCAUAACAGAAAGUCGUGGGGAUUAGUCAUCAUGUGGUCAUAGACACUGGCUUUUGGUACAUGUGUGCCACUGAUCAAGUUGCCAAUUUCUGAACAGUAUAUGAAUUAGCACUUCCUGUGGAAAUAUGUUUCGAUGCAGUGCCCUGUUUCAUCA
This is an RNA transcript of Mobula hypostoma (lesser devil ray), 5891 nucleotides long. It is a transcript of the gene named aminopeptidase O (putative), with no coding region annotated. The record is from RefSeq and is a predicted model, not a curated record. NCBI's taxonomy places the organism in Eukaryota, Metazoa, Chordata, Chondrichthyes, Myliobatiformes, Myliobatidae. The transcript is spliced from 18 exons.